RNAcentral lists this ribosomal RNA (495 nucleotides) under uncultured bacterium. RNAcentral's name for it is "bacterial SSU rRNA". It matches the Rfam family "Bacterial small subunit ribosomal RNA", at positions 24 to 518 of the family's 1533-position model. The record is from RNAcentral.
UCAGGAUGAACGCUGGCGGCGUGCCUAACACAUGCAAGUCGAACGGAAACAAGACGCUUCGGAGACUUCGGUCAAUGUUGUUUGUUUAGCGGCGGACGGGUGAGUAACGCGUGGAUAACCUGCCUCACACUGGGGGAUAACAGUUAGAAAUGACUGCUAAUACCGCAUAAGCGCACGGGAUCGCAUGGUCUAGUGUGAAAAAACUCCGGUGGUGUGAGAUGGAUCCGCGUCUGAUUAGCCAGUUGGCGGGGUAACGGCCCACCAAAGCGACGAUCAGUAGCCGGCCUGAGAGGGUGAACGGCCACAUUGGGACUGAGACACGGCCCAAACUCCUACGGGAGGCAGCAGUGGGGGAUAUUGCACAAUGGGGGAAACCCUGAUGCAGCCGACGCCGCGUGAGUGAAGAAGUAUUUCGGUAUGUAAAGCUCUAUCAGCAGGGAAGAUAAUGACGGUACCUGACUAAGAAGCACCGGCUAAAUACGUGCCAGCAGCGGC